RNAcentral lists this ribosomal RNA (537 nucleotides) under Candida albicans. RNAcentral's name for it is "eukaryotic LSU rRNA". The stretch from base 170 to 323 matches the Rfam family "5.8S ribosomal RNA". The record is from RNAcentral. Lineage: Eukaryota; Fungi; Ascomycota; Pichiomycetes; Serinales; Debaryomycetaceae.
CCGUAGGUGAACCUGCGGAAGGAUCAUUACUGAUUUGCUUAAUUGCACCACAUGUGUUUUUCUUUGAAACAAACUUGCUUUGGCGGUGGGCCCAGCCUGCCGCCAGAGGUCUAAACUUACAACCAAUUUUUUAUCAACUUGUCACACCAGAUUAUUACUUAAUAGUCAAAACUUUCAACAACGGAUCUCUUGGUUCUCGCAUCGAUGAAGAACGCAGCGAAAUGCGAUACGUAAUAUGAAUUGCAGAUAUUCGUGAAUCAUCGAAUCUUUGAACGCACAUUGCGCCCUCUGGUAUUCCGGAGGGCAUGCCUGUUUGAGCGUCGUUUCUCCCUCAAACCGCUGGGUUUGGUGUUGAGCAAUACGACUUGGGUUUGCUUGAAAGACGGUAGUGGUAAGGCGGGAUCGCUUUGACAAUGGCUUAGGUCUAACCAAAAACAUUGCUUGCGGCGGUAACGUCCACCACGUAUAUCUUCAAACUUUGACCUCAAAUCAGGUAGGACUACCCGCUGAACUUAAGCAUAUCAAUAAGCGGAGGAA